This 28-nucleotide non-coding RNA is filed under the name Mus musculus (house mouse). The record is from RNAcentral. Lineage: Eukaryota; Metazoa; Chordata; Mammalia; Rodentia; Muridae.
UAUGUAAUCAUUCCACUGGGUUAGCCUU